Molecule: ribosomal RNA, 18 nt
Filed under: Setaria italica (foxtail millet)
Lineage: Eukaryota; Viridiplantae; Streptophyta; Magnoliopsida; Poales; Poaceae
Description: partial 28S ribosomal RNA
Source: RNAcentral
AGUGACGCACAGUCAUGA